This 492-nucleotide ribosomal RNA is filed under the name uncultured bacterium. Its description in RNAcentral is "partial 16S ribosomal RNA". It matches the Rfam family "Bacterial small subunit ribosomal RNA", at positions 29 to 507 of the family's 1533-position model. The record is from RNAcentral.
AGUGAACGCUGGCGGUAGGCCUAACACAUGCCAGUCGAACGGCAGCACAGUAAUAGCUUGCUCUUACGGGUGGCGAGUGGCGGACGGGUGAGGAAUACUUCGGACUCUACUUUUUCGUGGGUGAUUACGUAGGGAAACUUACGCUAAUACCGCAUACGACCUACGGGUGUAAGCAGUCGAUCUUCGGACCUUGCGCGAUUGAAUGAGCCGAUGUCGGAUUAGCUAGUUGGCGGGGUAAAGGCCCACCAAGGCGACGAUCCGUAGCUGGUAUGAGAGGAUGAGCAGAAACAAUGGAAGAGAGAAACGGAAAAGACACCUACGGGAGGAAGCAGAAGGGAAUAAUGGACAAUGGGGGAAAGGAUGAUAAAGCAAUACCGAGUGGGGGAAGAAGGCAUAGGGGUAGUAAAGCACGUUUGUUGGGAAAGAAAAGCAGCAGGAUAAUACCCAGAUGGAAUGACGGUACCAAAAGAAUAAGCACCGGCUAACUACGUG